AAAUUGAAGAGUUUGAUCAUGGCUCAGAUUGAACGCUGGCGGCAGGCCUAACACAUGCAAGUCGAACGGUAACAGGAAGCAGCUUGCUGCUUUGCUGACGAGUGGCGGACGGGUGAGUAAUGUCUGGGAAACUGCCUGAUGGAGGGGGAUAACUACUGGAAACGGUAGCUAAUACCGCAUAACGUCGCAAGACCAAAGAGGGGGACCUUCGGGCCUCUUGCCAUCGGAUGUGCCCAGAUG
RNAcentral lists this ribosomal RNA (240 nucleotides) under Escherichia coli. RNAcentral describes it as "partial 16S ribosomal RNA". It matches the Rfam family "Bacterial small subunit ribosomal RNA", at positions 1 to 237 of the family's 1533-position model. Lineage: Bacteria; Pseudomonadati; Pseudomonadota; Gammaproteobacteria; Enterobacterales; Enterobacteriaceae. The record is from RNAcentral. RNAcentral also lists the same sequence under 1 other name.